Heterocephalus glaber (naked mole-rat) is the source of this 1703-nucleotide long non-coding RNA. The record is from Ensembl. NCBI's taxonomy places the organism in Eukaryota, Metazoa, Chordata, Mammalia, Rodentia, Bathyergidae.
GCGGGGCGCGCGCCACCCGCGGGGCGACCGCGCGGGGCCGGGGCCGGGACGCGGCCGGGUGCACGCCGCCCUGCCCGCCGCUGCCGGGACAAUGGCGGGGUCCUCGGUGGCAUCCUCGGCGGCCCCGGGCUCGGGUCCCCGCGCGGCAGGGCCAGGGCCGGGCGCACGCUUGGGCGCAGGGACUCAGCCUCCACGCGCGAGCGUCCCCACCGGGCCCGCGAUGGCGCGACAUCGCCACCAACUUUCCCGGCUCCCGCGGCCCGGCUCCGCCGCGGGCUCCUUAAGGUGGCACAGGGCUGCCCGGGCUCCGGGGCGCACUCCUUCCCCGCCGCCGCGCCCGCGCGCCAGUCCUCCUUAAGAGCGAGCACGUGGGCAGGGGCCGCGGCCCCGCGACUGCCCCGGGCGUCGGCGGACACGCGCCGCGGCGGCCGUGGGCGAGUCCGUGUGGAUGCUCCCCGCCGGCCCGAGGCGCCUCCAUCCCGCCCGCACACCUUGGCGCCUCCCAGUCUCCGGACCCCAGGGACGCCCACGGCUAGCCGCCUGCGCGCUGGUCCCCCUUAAGAAGCGCUGACUGUACGGCGGCGCCAGAGGGCCAAACUCGAUUAGAUUUCGGGAAACGCGCUCAGGGCCAAGCUGGAAACCUGGGAUCCGCGCGCGGACCACGAAGAGCCGCGUCGCCAACAGCACCAGGUACCCUGUGCCACUCGCUAGAACGACCCCGGCGCACCCGAGGGGCGCCGUACCCGCGGCUUGGGAGGCGUCGGAGCCUCAGGAAGAAGAGGGGUCCCGGGAAGGAACCCGGCUCCGGACCCCAGGGAAGUCCGCGCCGGACCGCCCCCCCCCCCCGCCUCAAGGAGCGCGCGCGAGCCAGGAGGCGAUCGAAGCCCGGCGGAGGACGAGGAAGCUGGCCGGAAGGGCCCCAGGCCGUAGGAAACGAGAAGGGGAGCCGCCCGCCGCGGCACUGCGUGUCCUCAGCCUCCGCCGGCCUCGCGAGGCCGGGUCCUCACCUCGCCCACUCGGAUCCAAGGCCGGGACCGCGAGGGUCGCUGCUGAUCGCGCGCACUGCUUCUGGGCGUGCAGAGCGCCCGCCAGCAUCUAUCCUGUUUGAUUCGUCACUAUUAUUAUAUCUGAUGAUGCGAAGGCUGGAACGCUCAACCCGAAGUCAUUAAUGAGCUAUUUUAUCAACACCGCUGUGGGGAUCUUCAUUUACAUUCGCCCAGGAUCGCGGCGCUCACCUCCCGGCUCUCGUCAACAGCGCGGGUGCGGGACUUCGUCCGUCAGCGCUCUUACAACACCAUGGGCGCACUGUUAAUCGCUUAAUACUUUAUAAAGUGUAAAUAUUUUAUUAUGUUUUUAAGAGAACUAUCGAUUCUAAAUUAUUAAACCCCUGAGAAGGGUUAUUUAAAUAAAGUACGCAGUUAUGUACAAUUAAAUGUACACUGUGGCUAGAGUCUGCACUCUUAAAUCUAUCGACUUCCCUGGUCCGUUUUCGACAGUAAAAAACAUCUACCAUUCUGGGCAAAGGGCGAAAAUUAGUUUACAUUACAUUUUAAAGUAAGUAAAUAAAAUCGCACUUAACAUAGAGGAAAAUGUCAAAUUCGACAAAUCAUUGCCAGAAAUGUAUUUUGAGUGCGUCUAGAGUUAUGUUUAGUAACUCAUUUUAUAAAUUUCUUUCGAUUUUGCAAAGGGAGACAUGUAAGAGG